RNAcentral lists this ribosomal RNA (404 nucleotides) under Fusobacteriota bacterium. Its description in RNAcentral is "Fusobacteria bacterium partial 16S ribosomal RNA". It matches the Rfam family "Bacterial small subunit ribosomal RNA", at positions 355 to 776 of the family's 1533-position model. The record is from RNAcentral. Lineage: Bacteria; Fusobacteriati; Fusobacteriota.
UGGGGAAUAUUGCACAAUGGAGGGAACUCUGAUGCAGCGACGCCGCGUGAGUGAUGAAGGACUUCGUUUCGUAAAACUCUGUUCUAGGGGAAGAAAAGGACUGUACCAUAGGAGAAAGCUCCGGCUAAAUACGUGCCAGCAGCCGCGGUAAUACGUAUGGAGCGAGCGUUGUCCGGAACUAUUGGGCGUAAAGGGUGCGCAGGCGGCUUUACAAGUUGGAUGUGAAAUAUUGUGGCUCAACCACAAACGUGCAUCCAAAACUGCAAAGCUUUAGUUAAGGAGAGGUAAGUGGAAUGCCUGGUGUAGCGGUGGAAUGCAUAGAUAUCAGGAGGAAUACCGGUGGCGAAGGCGACUUACUGGACUUAAACUGACGCUCAGGCACGAAAGCGUGGGGAGCAAACAGG